CCACUUGCUCCUUGUUGUUGGAACAGUGAAUUCUAAUGGAUCGCUCAGCCUAUGGUUUUUCCUUUCAGCUUUGAAAACUAAUCUAUUACGUAAAUUUAAAGAAGAAUAUUUAUCAUAACAUUCUCAGGCAGACUAGUCGGCUUAUCAUUACUAAGCUGAAGCAGUUGUAAUUCUACACUGAAAGCUGUAUCUAGUUAUUGACAUGCCAAGCUUAAGUUUUCCAAGUCAUCAAGUCCUGUUUUAUGCAAUCUGCGUUUCAGAAACUAUAGUAGAACAGGAUGGAGAGUAAAGGGAGUAAUAUCCCAUUGGCUGGUAGCAUAGUAGUUGAAUGCUGGUCUCAUAAUGUUUCAAACCUUGACAUCUCCUUGAAAACUUUCUGAUGCAGCAGAGAGGAGAGUACUUGAUAAAUACCUUGUGUGGAGGGGGGCCUGUACUGGUUAUCAAAUUAUAUAAAAAAAGAAAAUAUUGGCUUCAGACAACGUUUUUUUCUUCAUCUUAUAUAUCCAUAUAAUACAAAAUAUGUAUUCUGGAAUUAUCCAUUUACCUUCUUUCUUUAUUUUCACACUUUUUUUUUAGUCUCUAUACCUUUGGAAUGUGCUAUAUAAUAUCAUUCUUGCUGCAGUUCAUCUGAUCUGAAUAUUCAUUACGCGGAUUGUUUUCCAUUUACCUUCUUUCUUUAUUUUCACAGUUUUUUUGAGUCUCUAUACCU
RNAcentral lists this long non-coding RNA (709 nucleotides) under Manihot esculenta (cassava). Its description in RNAcentral is "long non-coding RNA (MESC_LNC008982)". Lineage: Eukaryota; Viridiplantae; Streptophyta; Magnoliopsida; Malpighiales; Euphorbiaceae. The record is from RNAcentral.